CCAUCCGCGUGAGUGAAGAAGGCCUUCGGGUUGUAAAGUUCUUUCGCAAGGGAAGAAAACUUAUGAUCGAAUAAAUCAUGAGGUUGACGGUACCUUGAUAAGAAGCACCGGCUUGCUACGUGCCAGCAGCCGCGGUAAUACGUAGGGUGCGAGCGUUAAUCGGAAUUACUGGGCGUAAAGCGUGCGCAGGCGGUUUUGUAAGUCGGAUGUGAAAUCCCCGGGCUCAACCUGGGAACUGCGUUCGAAACUGCAAGGCUAGAGUGUGUCAGAGGGGGGUAGAAUUCCACGUGUAGCAGUGAAAUGCGUAGAGAUGUGGAGGAAUACCAAUGGCGAAGGCAGACCCCUGGGAUAACACUGACGCUCAUGCACGAAAGCGUGGGGAGCAAACAGGAUUAGAUACCCUGGUAGUCCACGCCCUAAACGAUGUCAACUAGUUGUUGGUAGAGUAAAAUCUAUGAGUAACGUAGCUAACGCGUGAAGUUGACCGCCUGGGGAGUACGGUCGCAAGAUUAAAACUCAA
This 520-nucleotide ribosomal RNA is filed under the name uncultured bacterium. RNAcentral describes it as "bacterial SSU rRNA". It matches the Rfam family "Bacterial small subunit ribosomal RNA", at positions 392 to 904 of the family's 1533-position model. The record is from RNAcentral.